UGUGUGUGUGUGUGUGUGUGUGUAUGCUUGUGUGACUGUGUGUCUAUGUGUGUGUUUUCCCCCUUAGAUUACAGUAUAUGUUUCAUCCAGUCAUAGCCCCUUCAAAUGGUUCAAAGGGUUUCUGAAAAAUAUUCAGAAGGAGCUCAGAGAGAUGUUUCUUUGGUCCUCUACCAGAAAGAGAAGAGAGUGAGAGUGUGUGUGUGACUUUGCGUACGUCUGUGUGUGUGUGACUUUGUGCGCGCGUGUGUGUGUGUGUGUGUGUGUGUGUACACGCGCAUGUGUGUGUCAGAGAGAGGUUGUUUGACAGGCUCUGCUUUGAUCUGGCCUAGACUGACCUUACAUAAUCCAGCUCUUUCCUCAGAUGGGCUAACAGCACACAUCACUCAUACUGCCUCAGCUCUCAACUCAUCUACAACCACACAUCAACCACCCUACUUCAAACUAAACCCAUCUACAACCACCCUACUUCAAACUAAACCCAUCUACAACCACACAUCAACCACCCUACUUCAAACUCAACUCAUCUACAACUACACAUCAACCACCCUACUUUAGCUCUCAACCCAUCUACAACCACACAUCAACAACCCUACUUCAAAUCUCAACCCACCUACAACUACACAUCAACCACCCUACUUCAAACUCAACCCAUCUACAACCACACAUCAGUCACGCUACUACAGCUCUCAACGCAACUACAACCACACAUCAUAAUUUGAGGUCACUUGAAGCACAUUCUAAUAAUGCUUUAUACUACAUCUUAAUCCUAUUCAUAGCAGCUUAAAGAAGCAGCCAGAGGGCAAUAGAGAAUAAGCCACAACUCAGUUCCAUUGGAAUUCAGGAGUUAGACUGAAAAAUGGCGGUUAUUCUUCAGUUGGACUUGCAAGUCUCUCCCUGAAUUAGCUGAGUCUAAAUGGAGUUGACCCCAACCCUGGUUUCUGAGCCCUCCUCGUUAUUCCUAGUACCACAGUGGGAAUAGCCUGCUCAUUGACGCAUAGGAAGCUGUCUUGUCUCCACACAACCUGACACAGAAUAUUAUCCAGCAGCGAUGAUGGGGUUUUAAAGGCGUGUUAUUAAAGGCGUGCUCAUCCCCACGUGCCCUCUAUCUGCUAAUUAGACCUGCUUUGUCUAUUUGAUUGGCUAAUGGCUAAUUGCAUUCUGGUGCUUCUGUGUACAUUAUGUAAUGACUUCACGCUCUAAUGAGAUUGGCUAACAGGCAGGAGGAGGACGACGCCCCUAAACACUGAUCUGAUGUCAGGUAACUGCUUUCCCACGCAGGAUUUAGGGAGGGUCCUGUAAUCCUUGAUCUUUAAUUGCGCACAGACCCUUGGCCCUGAUAUAAGGUCAGUUGUGUGGUUUCCUCUCUAUUGGUGAAGGUUAGGUUUAGUAAGGAUCUGUACCUAUGAGAAGUUUGUAUCCACUCCCUGAACUCCACUUAGAGGUGCCUGGGAGAACAUUUUCCAAAUUGGUCAUACAUGUUAAAAAGGUGGAGGGAGAGAUGACAGUCUAUCAAAUUGUAGGCAUGGCCGCCAUUUAACAAAAAUGUAAUUGCAUUUACUAAAGUUUGGUUUGUACACUGCAAAUGAAAUGUGCUAUAUGUACUUUUUUUGCAUUGUAAUAUCAGAAAAGGAUCAUAUACAGCAUAUGGGCAGUCGUAGUGGGAUGACAGUGUUCUCAAUCUUUAUUCACCAGAAUUAUUUUGGAUGCAAACAAAAGGGCAUCUUAAAAUGAAGACUUUUGACAUUUUGUUUACUGGUCAACAAAAGCCAGACCCGGAUUAAAAUGGAAACACUGCACACCACCUCCCUUCUAUCAGUUGCAAUAAGGGACAUUCUCAUAUCCUCCUCAAACACAUCAAGCACAUCAGUGACCAAUUUCAGACUGGAGACUAGAUUAGAAUGCAAAAUUGUCGUUGCAUUUCACCUAGCUUCCACAUAGAGCAUACAUUUUACUUAUUGCUUCUUUAUAUUGUUCCUUGAAUUAUGCAAAUGGUAUAUUAUAAGUAUUAACUCAAUAGCAACAAUUUAUUAAUAUAUUUGGUGUGGCUUUAAGACAGAGUGGAGAAUUCCACACUGGUCCUUUCAGAGGCAUAGCAGAGGCCCAGUCUUGACUGCACACGCACUGAUGUGGGCUCAUGGUUAAAUAUUUCUGCGCAUGAGGACAAUACAAGAGAGUAGGAAUGACAUGGCUGGUGUCCAAACAAAAUCUCUUUAAAAAUCUAUUUUUUAAAGCCUCCGCUCCAGCGGUUUCCUCCAGGAACCUGUGAUCCUGUAUAGAUCUUAAAGGAUUGUUUGUUGAGUCCUUCUGAAGCCCCUGAGCCAACUGUCAUUAUUAAGGCCAACAAAAAAUAUUUGCCCUUAACUUCCAGUUUGUAUCACGCUAAUAUAUGGAAUUGUUUCACGAAGAUCCUGUAAUGGAUCAUUUAUUAAUUUGAUUUGGAGUUGUAGAACGCUUGUAUGUAUUUCAUUUAUAUAUAUUUUUAAUUGGUUUGAAAUUACAUUAAAAUUGGCAUCUACUGCUAAGCCU
Esox lucius (northern pike) is the source of this 2526-nucleotide long non-coding RNA. NCBI's taxonomy places the organism in Eukaryota, Metazoa, Chordata, Actinopteri, Esociformes, Esocidae. The record is from Ensembl.